GAUGAACGCUGGCGGCGUGCCUAAUACAUGCAAGUCGAGCGAACAGACGAGGAGCUUGCUCCUCUGACGUUAGCGGCGGACGGGUGAGUAACACGUGGAUAACCUACCUAUAAGACUGGGAUAACUUCGGGAAACCGGAGCUAAUACCGGAUAAUAUAUUGAACCGCAUGGUUCAAUAGUGAAAGACGGUUUUGCUGUCACUUAUAGAUGGAUCCGCGCCGCAUUAGCUAGUUGGUAAGGUAACGGCUUACCAAGGCAACGAUGCGUAGCCGACCUGAGAGGAGGAUCGGCCACACUGGAACUGAGACACGGUCCAGACUCCUACGGGAGGCAGCAGUAGGGAAUCUUCCGCAAUGGGCGAAAGCCUGACGGAGCAACGCCGCGUGAGUGAUGAAGGUCUUCGGAUCGUAAAACUCUGUUAUUAGGGAAGAACAAAUGUGUAAGUAACUAUGCACGUCUUGACGGUACCUAAUCAGAAAGCCACGGCUAACUACGUG
RNAcentral lists this ribosomal RNA (497 nucleotides) under uncultured bacterium. RNAcentral describes it as "partial 16S ribosomal RNA". It matches the Rfam family "Bacterial small subunit ribosomal RNA", at positions 28 to 507 of the family's 1533-position model. The record is from RNAcentral.